RNAcentral lists this ribosomal RNA (253 nucleotides) under uncultured bacterium. RNAcentral's name for it is "partial 16S ribosomal RNA". It matches the Rfam family "Bacterial small subunit ribosomal RNA", at positions 524 to 776 of the family's 1533-position model. The record is from RNAcentral.
UACAGAGGUCUCGAGCGUUGUUCGGAUUCAUUGGGCGUAAAGGGCGCGUAGGCGGCGGGGUAAGUCUGGUGUGAAAUCUAGGAGCUCAACUCCUAAACUGCACUGGAUACUGCUCUGCUAGAGGACUGGAGAGGAGACUGGAAUUCACGGUGUAGCAGUGAAAUGCGUAGAUAUCGUGAGGAAGACCAGUGGCGAAGGCGGGUCUCUGGACAGUUCCUGACGCUGAGGCGCGAAGGCCAGGGGAGCAAACGGG